UUACGGUUUUAUUUAUUUAAUGUGUACUGUAUAUUUAUGGUUAAAAAGCAUACUUCGUAUUUUAAAGUGCAUUCCAUUUGAACGGGGAGGCGGGAAUUUCCCACUUUGCUAGCGACGUCACCCACUCAGGGUAACGUAUUUGGUGGAAGCUGAAGUGAGUGAGCGUGCUAUUGCUCUUUCGUAUUUUGGGUUGUCCAUGGGUUAUAGUUAGUGUCUAUACUGGAGGCUACGGAGCUAUUGUAAGUUUGUUUGUGUUUUUUCCCCCCGCAUCGUCAUAGAUAUAUACAUGUGGAUGUCCCCUCUGACGCUGUUGUCCGGAACAAUGCGUUGAAGCGGCCGCCAUCUUGGGCCGGGGGCUGUGCAGGCCAGUGUAAAGACAAAGAACGUGUAAGCUCAGAUGAAUUGCCUAGUGCACCAAAGAUCCUUCAUGUGUUUGGCCCAGAUCACAGAGGGAAUGAUUCUGAGGAUGAAGCUGUCUUACCAACAAGAAAACAAGUGCACCAUACUGGAGCUGGACCAGAGAGGCCAAGCGUCCCGUAGCCUGCACCAGGGAAGGAUUUCAUCGACUGACCUGCACCAGAGAAAGACUGUUUCCUCUGAGGCACAUCAGUUGAUAAGAAGACCACAAACCAGUCUUCAUAUAUCACACCUAGGCCUACCACAUCCAAGGGUUGAAAUCUGUAACUGAAGAAGAGGUGUUGGACCAAAUCUGCUACCAUUAGCUGAUCGCCAGUCUGUCCAAAACAUGGAGGAGCGGCUCAGAAAUAGUGCUGACCUCAAAAACCAUCUGAGAACUGCACUGGCUCUUAAAGGAGGGGGAGACGUUAAAGAGUGUAAAGAGUGUCAUGGGUGCAACCUUAACACUCUCUCGCCAAGAAUGUCAACAUGCGCGGUAUAAAUGGCAAGAUUGGCUUCCAGCACCAGCAAAUAAAGGAUGUUGUAAUUGGUAAGUUUGUCUUAACAAACACUGACUCCCUCAGAGACCAUGCAUUUUUUUAUUUAUUUGUUAUGGCUAGAUUUAAACUGUAGGUCUGGAUGCACAGCUCUGAAUUUUUUCUCUCUUCUUUUUUUAGAAGUCCACGGUGGGAAUGAUGGACUGCACAGACAGCACUGCUUCAUUUGGACUUCUGUGCCCUUUGUUAAUUUUUUACUAAGACUUUAACCUCCCUGAUUUUAUUUGUUUUCCUUUUGUUAUCCUUAAGCUCACAUUCUUUUAAUGUAUUUCAAUUAUUGAUCUUAUAAUUUUAUUGGGUUGAAAGCAUAAAAUUUUUUUCCAUCCCCACUUAAUGUUGUUUCCCUCUGUUGUUCG
This is a long non-coding RNA of Melanotaenia boesemani (Boeseman's rainbowfish), 1309 nucleotides long. RefSeq lists it as uncharacterized. The record is from RefSeq and is a predicted model, not a curated record. Lineage: Eukaryota; Metazoa; Chordata; Actinopteri; Atheriniformes; Melanotaeniidae. The transcript has 6 exons.